This 73-nucleotide transfer RNA is filed under the name Bacteroidetes bacterium GWA2_31_9b. Its description in RNAcentral is "tRNA-Thr". It matches the Rfam family "tRNA". Rfam says of the family: Transfer RNA (tRNA) molecules are approximately 80 nucleotides in length. Their secondary structure includes four short double-helical elements and three loops (D, anti-codon, and T loops). Further hydrogen bonds mediate the characteristic L-shaped molecular structure. tRNAs have two regions of fundamental functional importance: the anti-codon, which is responsible for specific mRNA codon recognition, and the 3' end, to which the tRNAs corresponding amino acid is attached (by aminoacyl-tRNA synthetases). tRNAs cope with the degeneracy of the genetic code in two manners: having more than one tRNA (with a specific anti-codon) for a particular amino acid; and 'wobble' base-pairing, i.e. permitting non-standard base-pairing at the 3rd anti-codon position. Lineage: Bacteria; Pseudomonadati; Bacteroidota. The record is from RNAcentral.
GCCUUCUUAGCUCAGUUGGCAGAGCAGCUCAUUCGUAAUGAGCAGGUCGCGGGUUCGACUCCCGUGGAAGGCU